RNAcentral lists this long non-coding RNA (1351 nucleotides) under Carassius auratus (goldfish). RNAcentral describes it as "lncRNA (ENSCARG00000055591.1)". The record is from RNAcentral. Lineage: Eukaryota; Metazoa; Chordata; Actinopteri; Cypriniformes; Cyprinidae.
UUAUCAAAUAAUAACUCGCUUCAGCACUAAAUUUGACUGGCCAUCUGUGGAGUAUUUGUGCUGUGAUUGGAUGCUUCUGUUUCUAUUUCUGUCAUAAUCAUAUAUAUGUGUGUGUGUGUGUGUGUGUGUGUGUGCGUGCGUGUGUUCCAGCUCUGUUGUGUCGGCGUAUCUCGGCUCGUCUCAUGAUGGCAGUCGUCUCUGUGAAUUCAGCAUCACACAGUACGCUUGUGCACAGGUACAUGAACCACACCAUACACAGACGCGUGAAUACACACUCUGUCUCUGUAAGCAUGUGUUUACUGUGUGUGUGUGUUCAGCUGACAGCUCUGAGCUCACAGGACCUGGCGACGGUGUUGUCAUGCGGUCUCAACAGGAAUGAGAGCGUGUCCGAGGAGACGUGGAAGCUCUUCUUGCAGAAGGUCAACCCUGUGCUGGGUCCAGCGCUCGACCUGCUCACACACACGAGGCUGAAUAAGUCCCGCCCUGCAGUCUCAUUCUUGAAUGUGAUUGGAGAAGUCACUCUGAGCUCCUUCAGCUCCACCAAUCUGAGAGAUGAUUUGUUCGUCCAGCGCUGGUUUGACUCCAGGCUCCGCCCAUUUUUACCCUACGCCUCUGAGACGUUCCUGUCCUGUCUGUCCACCAGAGACUUCAGCUGCGACACAUACAAGAGCGUGUGAGUUACACACACACACACACACACACACACACUCUCUCUCUCUCUCUCUCUCUCUCUCUCUCACAUGCACACACUCACUCACUCAUUCAUUCUCUUACAAUUACUCACACACACACACACAUAUACUCUCUCACACACACACAUUAACUCACUCACUAACCUACACACACUCUCUCUCUCACACACAGUCACACGCACACGCAUAUGUUGAUGAAACUCAUAUGUUUGGUCUCUCUCACAGUGUCAGGAGCUUCAGUCAGAGUUUUGACGUCAUGUCUACUGAUACACAAGCUAACUUCUACGUUGACUUCAUCAAAGUCUUCCUCUCUCAGAACAGCACUGCAGGUUGAACACACACACACACACACACACGCGCACACACACACACACACACACACACAGGGAUCUGUAGAUCAGUUGUGACGUGUUGCUCUGUGUUUAGGGUGUGUGAACGUCUCUCAGAGCAGCUCUGAUUGGCUGAUCAGCAGCUUCGGACGUUUUUCUGUUUUCACCACUGUCACUGACCUGCAGACACUCAACCCCAGCUUCAAUGUGGUAUGAACACACACGCGCACACACACACACACACACACACACACACACACACACACACACACACACACACACACACACACACACACACACACACACAGCGUGUACAGAUGCAUGUGUUGA